CGCUACGGACUUAAAAUCCGUCGACUUUCAAAAUCGUGAGGGUUCAAGUCCCUCUAUCCCCA
RNAcentral lists this transfer RNA (62 nucleotides) under Lotus broussonetii. RNAcentral describes it as "partial tRNA-Leu". It matches the Rfam family "tRNA", at positions 22 to 71 of the family's 71-position model. From Rfam's summary of the family: Transfer RNA (tRNA) molecules are approximately 80 nucleotides in length. Their secondary structure includes four short double-helical elements and three loops (D, anti-codon, and T loops). Lineage: Eukaryota; Viridiplantae; Streptophyta; Magnoliopsida; Fabales; Fabaceae. RNAcentral also lists the same sequence under 1 other name. The record is from RNAcentral.